UUUUUUGGCGGCCCGAGCGGGAGGGCUCGCGCCCUGCCGGUUUCCUCAGGGGUGUACCGGUCUUCCACCCCGUUCGGGCUGCCGCCUUC
RNAcentral lists this non-coding RNA (89 nucleotides) under Variovorax sp. Sphag1AA. The record is from RNAcentral. Lineage: Bacteria; Pseudomonadati; Pseudomonadota; Betaproteobacteria; Burkholderiales; Comamonadaceae.